UCCAAAGCAGUCAUGGGCUAUCACCCUUGU
RNAcentral lists this non-coding RNA (30 nucleotides) under Mus musculus (house mouse). The record is from RNAcentral. Lineage: Eukaryota; Metazoa; Chordata; Mammalia; Rodentia; Muridae.